GCUGCUGGCCAAAAGUACUUCUAUGUCUUGGCCAAACAACUUAAAUUUGUUUGAAAAAUACUUUUUUGGAGAAAAAAAUACUCCUGGUCUCCCAGAAGCCUGGCCGCUCGUGCCUUUAGGUGUUGGGUUAAGUCCCGCAACGAGUGCAACCCUCGUGUUUCAUUACCAUCGUUGAGUUUUAAACCUUGAACAGACUGCCGGUGAUAAGCCGGAGGAAGGUGAGGAUGACGUCAAGUCAUCAUGCCCCUUAUGUCCUGGGCGACACACGUGCUACAAUGGCCGGGAUAAAGGGUCGUGAUCCCGCAAGGGUGAACUAACCCCAAAAACCCGUCCUCAGUUCGGAUUGCAGGUGAGUUGCAGGCUCUAAAAAGCC
Molecule: non-coding RNA, 373 nt
Filed under: Nicotiana attenuata
Lineage: Eukaryota; Viridiplantae; Streptophyta; Magnoliopsida; Solanales; Solanaceae
Description: Bacterial small subunit ribosomal RNA
Rfam family: Bacterial small subunit ribosomal RNA
Source: Rfam by way of RNAcentral